GGGAUUGCCUCAGUAACGGCGAGUGAAGCGGCAACAGCUCAAAUUUGAAAUCUGGCUCCGUCGGGGUCCGAAUUGUAAUUUGUAGAGAGUGCUUCGGGCGAGGCCUCGGUCUAAGUCCAUUGGAACAUGGUGUCACAGAGGGUGAGAAUCCCGUAUGCGACCGUGGCUCGAGCCGAUGUGAAGCCUCUUCGACGAGUCGAGUUGUUUGGGAAUGCAGCUCAAAAUGGGUGGUAAAUUUCAUCUAAAGCUAAAUACCGGCUGGAGACCGAUAGCGCACAAGUAGAGUGAUCGAAAGAUGAAAAGCACUUUGGAAAGAGAGUCAAACAGUACGUGAAAUUGUUGAAAGGGAAGCGCUUGCAACCAGACCUGCCCGUAGGCGAUCAGCCGCUGUUCUCAGCGGUGUACUCGCUCUGCGAUCAGGCCAGCAUCGGUUUCGGCGGUCGGAUAAAGGCCUUGGGAAUGUAGCUUCUCUUCGGGGGAGUCUUAUAGCCCUCGGUGUAAUGCGGCCAGCCGGGACCGAGGACCGCGCUUCGGCUAGGAUGCUGGCGUAAUGGUUGUAAGCGACCCGUCUUGAAACACGGACCAAGGAGUCUAACAUCUAUGCGAGUGUUUGGGUGUCAAACCCAUGCGCGGAAUGAAAGUGAACGGAGGUGAGAACCCUUAAGGGCGCAUCAUCGACCGAUCCAGAAGUCUUCGGAUGGAUUUGAGUAUGAGCAUAGCUGUUGGGACCCGAAAGAUGGUGAACUAUGCCUGAAUAGGGUGAAGCCAGAGGAAACUCUGGUGGAGGCUCGCAGCGGUUCUGACGUGCAAAUCGAUCGUCAAAUUUGGGUAUAGGGGCGAAAGACUAAUCG
RNAcentral lists this ribosomal RNA (851 nucleotides) under Xanthoparmelia aff. subramigera. RNAcentral describes it as "eukaryotic LSU rRNA". It matches the Rfam family "Eukaryotic large subunit ribosomal RNA", at positions 71 to 937 of the family's 3401-position model. The record is from RNAcentral. Lineage: Eukaryota; Fungi; Ascomycota; Lecanoromycetes; Lecanorales; Parmeliaceae.